Molecule: non-coding RNA, 24 nt
Filed under: Cricetulus griseus (Chinese hamster)
Lineage: Eukaryota; Metazoa; Chordata; Mammalia; Rodentia; Cricetidae
Source: RNAcentral
UGUAGCUAAAAGAUUGGGUGGACU